Long non-coding RNA from Saccostrea cuccullata (small rock oyster), 462 nucleotides. RefSeq lists it as uncharacterized. The transcript has 3 exons. Lineage: Eukaryota; Metazoa; Mollusca; Bivalvia; Ostreida; Ostreidae. The record is from RefSeq and is a predicted model, not a curated record.
GAAGAAAGCAAAAGCAGACCGAUGGGCUACCCCUACCUUUGUAUAGAAUACUGAUUGAAAAUGAGGGAGACAAUAUACCAGUUCAGUUGGAUCAGCAACAGUUGUCCAUGUGCUGCAGUAUUUAUUGGAUCCAACCAAAUCAGAAGAGAAAACCCUGAAGCAAAUUUAUAUGGUAAUACAGGGAUUUCUAAGAGUGGAGGAUCACAGGAGUGGAACUGUUUCAUUUACCCAACACCUUGAGCUGACUGAUCAAGGAAAAUAUGAAGCAGUUUACAGAUGAAAGUUCUGCUGGAAGCACAGAGAUUAAUACUGAACAAUACAUGUUUAACCUCUGUCCGGACUCAUCAUAACAGAAAGUAUUUUCAAAAUGUUGCAAUCACAAAAAUCUUCUGGGAGUUGGAAAUCAGUCUUACAGAAAUUGAAGAUCAAGUAGGAACACUGCAGCAAAUUUAUAUGCUACAA